RNAcentral lists this ribosomal RNA (558 nucleotides) under Triticum aestivum (bread wheat). Its description in RNAcentral is "partial small subunit ribosomal RNA". Lineage: Eukaryota; Viridiplantae; Streptophyta; Magnoliopsida; Poales; Poaceae. The record is from RNAcentral.
AUGACUCCGUCGGCAUCUGUUGGAAAGGAAGUCAACUUGAAGGAAGUCAACUUCAACUUGAAGGAGGAUAAGAACAUACCCUGUGCUAUUCAGUUUGUAACGACGAUGUUGGGGACGUCUUCAACAUUGACGAUCGGGGACCGGAACAAGAAGUUCAGGGUGAGCCGUUCUUCGACUUGGAUAACGGUUGUCUUCACACAGUCUAUGUUCAUUGCCACCACAGCAGGUUGGAUCUACGACAUGUAUAAUAAACCUAUCUGGAAUGCCGGCUUCCCAUGGUGGCUGCCAGUUGCUGUGUUGUUGGGCGCCUACCUGGCAGUGGUAGACCUGGCGCGUGGGUAUUUGACCCUCUUCGUGCCACAGGCACCCUUGGCGGCAUGGAAUGCACUUGACGAAGUUGGCUUCAAGGUGAUUGGAUUUUCUGUCAUCUUAAUCUCUGUCCCUGUUUUCUUGUUUGACCAGGCGUGGCUGCACAUCACCUUUGCUUGCCUUCUUAGUGUCCUCAUUGCUACCAUACUUGCCUUCUGUGUCUGUCUUGUUCGCACGUACCGGCAAUAG